GAUGAACGCUGGCGGCGUGCCUAAUACAUGCAAGUCGAGCGAACAGACGAGGAGCUUGCUCCUCUGACGUUAGCGGCGGACGGGUGAGUAACACGUGGAUAACCUACCUAUAAGACUGGGAUAACUUCGGGAAACCGGAGCUAAUACCGGAUAAUAUAUUGAACCGCAUGGUUCAAUAGUGAAAGACGGUUUUGCUGUCACUUAUAGAUGGAUCCGCGCCGCAUUAGCUAGUUGGUAAGGUAACGGCUUACCAAGGCAACGAUGCGUAGCCGACCUGAGAGGGUGAUCGGCCACACUGGAACUGAGACACGGUCCAGACUCCUACGGGAGGCAGCAGUAGGGAAUCUUCCGCAAUGGGCGAAAGCCUGACGGAGCAACGCCGCGUGAGUGAUGAAGGUCUUCGGAUCGUAAAACUCUGUUAUUAGGGAAGAACAAAUGUGUAAGUAACUAUGCACGUCUUGACGGUACCUAAUCAGAAAGCCACGCCUAACUACGUG
This 497-nucleotide ribosomal RNA is filed under the name uncultured bacterium. RNAcentral describes it as "partial 16S ribosomal RNA". It matches the Rfam family "Bacterial small subunit ribosomal RNA", at positions 28 to 507 of the family's 1533-position model. The record is from RNAcentral.